GUGCUCGCUUCGGCAGCACAUAUACUAAAAUUGGAACGAUACAGGGAAGCUUAGCAUGGUCCCUGUGCAAGGAUGCACAUAAAUGGCAAAAGGAACACUGUAGAUAU
Vulpes vulpes (red fox) is the source of this 107-nucleotide small nuclear RNA. The record is from Ensembl. Lineage: Eukaryota; Metazoa; Chordata; Mammalia; Carnivora; Canidae.